RNAcentral lists this long non-coding RNA (3758 nucleotides) under Homo sapiens (human). RNAcentral's name for it is "HSALNT0255318". Lineage: Eukaryota; Metazoa; Chordata; Mammalia; Primates; Hominidae. The record is from RNAcentral.
CCGCCUGCGAAGUGCUCCGCGGCCGGCGGAGACGCGGGCAGCCAGCGAUGGCCGCGGAGGGGGCGAACUGGGUUCCGGCCCUCGGAGGCUGACGGAAGGCGGUGGCUGAGGAGCGGCGCCUCUGGUUGAGCGCUCGCCGUGUGUCCCGCACCUGUCUGUCCUGCCGCCGCCCGGUAAGGUAGGAAAGGUCAGCGCGCCGGGGUUACGGGUACAGAACCUGGGUUCGAAUCCCGGCCCCGACGUUUCCGCACUACGUGCCGUUGGGCAGGAGCUGACGUCACCUUGCCGGGCCUCAGUUUCCUUCUCUGGUGCGCUGAGGAGGCGGGGCAUGGAACGUGGUCAGCGCUUCAUCGGUGCUGGCUCUUUGAGCAAGCCAGUUCCCGAAGGCUCAGCAUCUCAUUCAUUCAUUAAAAUGUCAUUGAGCGCCUACUGUGUGUCAAUCACUGUAUGGGCAGUGAGCAGAAAAAAAAUACCUGGUCUUAUUGGGCUAACAUUCUAAACCAGCGCUGGCCUAGAAUGCCCUAGUAGAAAUACAUGCAAGCUACAUGUUUAAUUUUUUUUUAUGUAAAGAUGGGCUCUGGUUCUGUUGCCCAGGCUGGUCUCGAACUCCUGGACUCAAGCGAUUCUCCUGCCUCCGCCUCCCAAAGAGCUGGGAUUACAGGCAUGCCUGCACUCUGCCUAAUUUUUUCUUUUUUUUUUUUAUGAUCUGAAAAUAAUAGUCUUUUUAUUUUUAUUUAUUUAUUUAUUUAUUUGAGACGGAGACUCGCUCUGUCGCCAGGCUGGAGUGCAGUGGCGUGAUCUCCGCUCACUGCAACCUCCGCUUCCCAGGUUCAAGCGAUUCUCCUGCCUCAGCCUCCUAAGUAGUUGGGCCUACAGGCGCUGCGCCACCACAACCAGCUAAUUUUUGUAUUUUUAGUAGAGACGGGGUUUCACCGUGUUGGCCAUGAUGAUCUGUAUCUCUUGACCUCGUGAUCUGCCCGCCUCAGCCUCCCAAAGUGCUGGGAUUACAGGCUUGAGCCACUGCGCCUGGCCUACAAUUUUGUUUUUCUUUUUUUUUUUUUUUUUUUGAGACAGGAUCUCACUCUGUCACCCAAUUUGGAGUGCGGUGGUAUGAUCACAGCUAACUGCAGCCUCAACUUCCCCAGCUCAGGCAAUCAAUCCUCCGGCUUCAGAUUCCUGAGUAGCUUAGACUACAGGAUGUGCCACUAUGCCUGGCUAAUGUUUUAUUUUUUUGUAGCGAUGAGGUCUUGCUGUAUUGCCUAGGCUGGUCUCAAACUUCUAGACUUAAGUGAUCCUCCUGCUUUGGCCUCCCAAAGUGUUGGGAUUACAGGCGGGAGCCACGGUGCCCAGCCUGUUUCUUUUUUUAAUCAUAUUUUCUUAGAAGUUUUUUUUUUUUUUUUUUUUUUUUUUGGAGACAGGGUCUCACUCUGCUGUGCAGGCUGGAAUGCAGUGGUGUGAUCUCAGCUCACUGCAACCUCUGCCUCCCUAUUCAAGUGAUUCUCGUGCCUCAGCCUCCCAAGUAGCUGGGAUCACAGGCGUGCAACAUCACACCCAGCUAAUUCUUGUGGUUUUAGUAGAGAUGGGGUUUUGCCAUGUUGGCCAGGCUGGUCUCAAACUCCUGGCCUCAAGUGAUCCACCCACCUCGGCCUCCCAAAGUGCUGGGAUUACAGGCAUGAGCCACCACCCGGCCUAGGAAAGCUUUUUAGAGAUUGGGUCUCACUGUGUUGCCCAGGCUGGAGUGCAGUGGCUGUUCACAGGUGCAAUCAUCCCACAGGUUUAACUCCUGACCUCAAGCAGUCCUUCUGCCUCAGGCUCCCAAGUAGCUGGGAUUAUAGGCACGUGCCACCACACCUAGCUCAAUUAAAUGUUAAAUUUAACAUUUAAUUGUUAAAUUUUAUAGUAGCCAGCAUUCUGGGUCAUCACGGUGCAAUAGAAGUAUAAACAAAGCAGGCCAGGCACAGUAGGUCACGCCUGUAAUCCCAGCACUUUGGGAGGCCGAGGCGGGCAGAUCACCAGGUCAGUAGUUCGAGACCAGCCUGGCCAACAUGUUGAAACCCCAGUCUCUACUAAAAAUACAAAAAUUAGCUGGACGUGGUGGCAGGAGCCUGUAAUCCCAGCUACUCGGGAGGCUGAGGCAGGAGAAUCGCUUGAAACUGGAAAGUGGAGGUUGCAGUGAGCCGAGAUCCCGCCACUGCACUCCAGCCUAGGUGAAAGAGGGAAAUUACAUCUCAAAAAAACAGUAUAAGCAAGCCACAGAUUUGUCAGCGAGGUAUGUAAUUUAAAUUGGUACAUUGUUAGCCAUGUUUAAAAAUAAGUAAAAAGAAACGGGUGAUGUUAGUUGUAAUGUGUUUUAUUUAACUCAGUAGGUUGAAUAUGUUAUUAUUUAAACAUGUAGUCAAUAUUUUAAAAUACAGGAUGUUUUGCAUCUGUUAUCUUUCCAAAAUAGAAGAUACUUUGUGUCCUUUUUCUUUCCUGCAUGCUUUUUUUUUCUUAUUUUUUUGAGACAGAGUCUCACUCUGUUGCCAAGGCUGGAGUGCAGUGGCGGGAUCUCGGCUAACUGCAACCUCCCCAUCCCGGGUUCAAGCGAUUCUCCUGCCUCAGCCUCCCGAGUAGCUGCGAUUACAGACAUUUGCCACCAUGCCCGGCACAGCACAGCACCGCACAUCUCCAGUCGGACUGGCUACAUUUCAAGGGCUCAACCAUCACGCGUUACCAGUGGCUACUGCAUCAGACUGUGCAGUGCUAGAUGGGGAGUCAGAAGAGAAACCAAGUGAUUUCCAUGUCAAGUGGUGAACAGGCUAAGAAGAAAAGUAAAUUGGGGAAAGAGCAUGGGGAAUGUGGGGGUUGCUGUUUGAAAGAGGAUGGUUGGGAAGGCUGAAGAGCUGUCAUUCGCAGAGGGACCCAAAAGAGGUCCACUUACAGCUGGAUUUACUUCCACCUCUGCCACCUGUGAGACAGCGAGACCAACCCCUCCUCCUCCUCUUCCUAGCCUACUCCGAGUGAAGAUGAUGAAGAUGAAGACCGUUAUGAUCCACUUCCACUUAAUGAAAGAUGAAUAUAUUUUCUCUUCCUAAUGAUUUUUUUUUUUUUUUUUUUGGAGACAGAGUCUCGCUGCAUCCCCCAGGCUGGAGUACAGUGGUAUGAUCUUGGCUCACUGCAACCUCUGCCUCCUAGGUUCAAGUGAUUCUCCUGCCUCAGUCUCCCGAGUAGCUGGGAUUACAGGCGCCCACCACCAUGCCCGGCUAAUUUUUGUAUUUUUAGUAGAGAUGGGGUUUCACUAUGUUGGCCAGGCUGGUCUCAAACUCCUGACCUCAGGUGAUCUGCCUGACUUGGCCUCCCAAAGUGCUGGGAUUACAGGCAUGAGCCACCUUGCCUGGCCUCUUCCUAAUGAUUUUUUAAAGUACAUCUUGUUUUCUCUGUCUUACUUUAUCAUAAAAAUAUAUGAUACAAAUAAAAUACAGAAUAUGUGUUAAUGGACUGUGUAUGUUAUGAGUAAGCCUUCCAGUCGACAGUGGGCUAUUAUUGGUGGUUAAGUUUUGGGGGAGUGUGUGUUCAAGGGUCAACCGCACUUCCUGAGGGCACUGUGAGAACUAAGUUAAAUAACCCACUUUUACAAUCUUUGGAACCGGGGGCAGGUGGCUGGGGCUCACACCUGUAAUUACAGCACUUUGGGAGGCUGAGGCAGGAAGAUCCCUUGAGGCCAAGAGUUUGAGACCAGCCUGGGCAACAAAGCAAGACUCUGUCUCUACAAAAAUUUU